RNAcentral lists this ribosomal RNA (807 nucleotides) under uncultured Streptomycetaceae bacterium. RNAcentral's name for it is "bacterial SSU rRNA". It matches the Rfam family "Bacterial small subunit ribosomal RNA", at positions 100 to 921 of the family's 1533-position model. Lineage: Bacteria; Bacillati; Actinomycetota; Actinomycetes; Kitasatosporales; Streptomycetaceae. The record is from RNAcentral.
GACGGGUGAGUACACGUGGGCAAUCUGCCCUGCACUCUGGGACAAGCCUUGGAAACGAGGUCUAAUACCGGAUACGACCCUUGACCGCAUGGUCUUGGGUGGAAAGCUCCGGCGGUGCAGGAUGAGCCCGCGGCCUAUCAGCUUGUUGGUGGGGUGAUGGCCUACCAAGGCGACGACGGGUAGCCGGCCUGAGAGGGCGACCGGCCACACUGGGACUGAGACACGGCCCAGACUCCUACGGGAGGCAGCAGUGGGGAAUAUUGCACAAUGGGCGCAAGCCUGAUGCAGCGACGCCGCGUGAGGGAUGAAGGCCUUCGGGUUGUAAACCUCUUUCAGCAGGGAAGAAGCGCAAGUGACGGUACCUGCAGAAGAAGCACCGGCUAACUACGUGCCAGCAGCCGCGGUAAUACGUAGGGUGCGAGCGUUGUCCGGAAUUAUUGGGCGUAAAGAGCUCGUAGGCGGCUUGUCGCGUCGGAUGUGAAAGCCCGGGGCUUAACCCCGGGUCUGCAUUCGAUACGGGCAGGCUGGAGUGUGGUAGGGGAGAUCGGAAUUCCUGGUGUAGCGGUGAAAUGCGCAGAUAUCAGGGGGAACACCGGUGGCGAAGGCGGAUCUCUGGGCCAUUACUGACGCUGAGGAGCGAAAGCGUGGGGAGCGAACAGGAUUAGAUACCCUGGUAGUCCACGCCGUAAACGUUGGGCACUAGGUGUGGGUCACAUUCCACGUGGUCCGCGCCGCAGCUAACGCAUUAAGUGCCCCGCCUGGGGAGUACGGCCGCAAGGCUAAAACUCAAAGGAAUUGACGGGGGCC